UAUUAUUUUCAUGGAAGUGAAGGCUGUCAACAGCUACUAGCCAUGACGGCUCUGUUCUGUCUCCCCAGUCAGAGGAGGUAAUGCAUCUGAAUAUGAGUUUUGGGGGACCACAGAAGAGGAGAGAGCUCUUGUACUUGCAUGUUUCCCCACAGGCAUCAGUUUGGCCACUGAGAGAACAGGAUGCUGGACUAGAUGGGCCAUUGGCCUCUGCUUCUUAAUCAUUUAACCUGGAAGGAGAGCAUGACUUCGAUGUCUCCCAGUUCUUCAUACCAACAGGUGGUGCUGAAUUUAUGACUCGCCUCCUGCAUCCCAGACUUCUUCUCCCCCAGCUGUGCACAUGCUCAGCUGCCUCUGCUCAACUAAAACUGGAGCCUGGCCUGCAUCAGGGAGAUUUGCAGGCUCUUCUUCCUUCUCCUCCAGUAUCAACUGAAACAGCAGAAAGGAAUCCUUUCAAUAGCUGGAGCAACAGUCCACACCAUCUUUUUCACUCACCCUCUGCAAGUGAGAAAUGAGGGCUGUGUUUGUUCACACCACACAUUUAAGGUGUGCCCAUUUAUUGCACCCACACCCAAUCUCCAAGUGGUGCGGUAUUCCCAGGGGUUCCAUGCGCCUACCGAGGGCUCGGUUUCCUCAGAAUGAGGGAUAGCUGAGACAGUGGUAUCUUGAUAAUAAAUGGUUUAUUUACACAUCUAUGCAACCUGAGCUCCGAUGGAGGGGUUCACAGCAUUAAUGCCCCCCCCAAAGGGCCUUGCUUCUCCAACCCGCCAUAGCAGCUAUUUUGAGGCGGGCACCCCCAGCGCUCUCCAGGACCUUCAGACCCUGAAGACAUGUAGAAUCCUUUGUUGAGGGCUAGACAAAACAAUAUGGAAGAGUCAACCCUAUGUAGUCCAUGGGUCUUGAGUUGGUGUAGGGCAAGGUUUGGCUUGUACCUGAAGCUUUUAUCACACACCUCACAUUUAUAGGCCUUCUCUCCCGUGUGACUUCUCUCAUGGCUAAUAAGGGACGUCUUGUUUUUAUAGCUUUUCCCACACUGCUUGCAUAUAUAGGGGGUCUCUCCUGUGUGAACUAUUUGGUGUCGAUGAAGUUUUGACUUGUAUUUGAAGCUUUUUCCACAUUGGCUGCAUUGGUAGGGUCUCUCUUCCACCUGAGUUACCUGUAUACCCUUCCCGUUCAUCUCUUUGUGCUCAGGCUCCACUGAUGAUACCACACAACAUUGUCCUUCAUUCUCAGUUACCUGCGUAUCACCUGCUGAAAUAAAGGCGAGAAAUACUUUAUGGGUCAGCAAAGGAGAAGCAAGCCGUCCUUUGGCUCUCCCCUAAAUGUGUUGUGGUGUCAUUGAAUUCAUUAAAAUUGUUUGUCUCCCA
Molecule: long non-coding RNA, 1364 nt
Organism: Podarcis raffonei (Aeolian wall lizard)
Lineage: Eukaryota; Metazoa; Chordata; Lepidosauria; Squamata; Lacertidae
Exons: 3
Source: RefSeq, a predicted model, not a curated record